UACGUAGGUGCCAAGCGUUGUCCGGAUUUACUGGGCGUAAAGAGCGCGCAGGCGGUCGAUCAAGUCGAGUGGGAAAGCCCCCGGCUCAACUGGGGAGGGUCAUUCGAUACUGAUCGACUCGAAGGCAGGAGAGGGUAGUGGAAUUCCCGGUGUAGUGGUGAAAUGCGUAGAUAUCGGGAGGAACACCAGUGGCGAAGGCGACUACCUGGCCUGUUCGUGACGCUGAGGCGCGAAAGCUAGGGGAGCAAACGGG
Molecule: ribosomal RNA, 253 nt
Filed under: uncultured bacterium
Lineage: Bacteria
Description: partial 16S ribosomal RNA
Rfam family: Bacterial small subunit ribosomal RNA
Source: RNAcentral